GCAUAACUCGAGUGUGGCAGAGGGGGGUGGAAUUCACGUGUAGCAGUGAAAUGCGUAGAGAUGUGGGAGGAACACCGAUGGCGAAGGCAGCCCCCUGGGUCAACACUGACGCUCAUGCACGAAAGCGUGGGGAGCAAACAGGAUUAGAUACCCUGGUAGUCCACGCCCUAAACGAUGCGAACUAGGUGUUGGGGAAGGAGACUUUCUUAGUACCGCAGCUAACGCGUGAAGUUCGCCGCCUGGGGAGUACGGUCGCAAGAUUAAAACUCAAAGGAAUUGACGGGGACCCGCACAAGCGGUGGAUGAUGUGGAUUAAUUCGAUGCAACGCGAAAAACCUUACCUACCCUUGACAUGUCAGGAAGUCUGCUGAGAGGUGGAUGUGCCCGAAAGGGAGCCUGAACACAGGUGCUGCAUGGCUGUCGUCAGCUCGUGUCGUGAG
Molecule: ribosomal RNA, 440 nt
Filed under: uncultured bacterium
Lineage: Bacteria
Description: bacterial SSU rRNA
Rfam family: Bacterial small subunit ribosomal RNA
Source: RNAcentral